UACGUAGGGUGCAAGCGUUGUCCGGAAUUAUUGGGCGUAAAGAGCUCGUAGGCGGUUCGUCGCGUCGGCUGUGAAAUCCCGAGGCUCAACCUCGGGUCUGCAGUCGAUACGGGCGGACUGGAGUUCGGCAGGGGAGACUGGAAUUCCUGGUGUAGCGGUGAAAUGCGCAGAUAUCAGGAGGAACACCGGUGGCGAAGGCGGGUCUCUGGGCCGAUACUGACGCUGAGGAGCGAAAGCGUGGGGGAGCGAACAGG
This 254-nucleotide ribosomal RNA is filed under the name uncultured bacterium. Its description in RNAcentral is "partial 16S ribosomal RNA". It matches the Rfam family "Bacterial small subunit ribosomal RNA", at positions 524 to 776 of the family's 1533-position model. The record is from RNAcentral.